This 76-nucleotide transfer RNA is filed under the name Micrococcales bacterium. Its description in RNAcentral is "tRNA-Arg". It matches the Rfam family "tRNA". From Rfam's summary of the family: Transfer RNA (tRNA) molecules are approximately 80 nucleotides in length. Their secondary structure includes four short double-helical elements and three loops (D, anti-codon, and T loops). The record is from RNAcentral. RNAcentral also lists the same sequence under 3 other names. Lineage: Bacteria; Bacillati; Actinomycetota; Actinomycetes; Micrococcales.
GCGCCCGUAGCUCAAUGGAUAGAGUACUGCCCUCCGAAGGCAGGGGUUGCAGGUUCGAUACCUGCCGGGCGCGCCA